UCCGAGUUGUAAUUUGAAGAAGGUAACUCUGGAGUUGGCCCUUGUCUAUGUUCCUUGGAACAGGACGUCACAGAGGGUGAGAAUCCCGUGCGAUGGGGUGUCCAAUUCUAUGUAGAGUGCUUUCGAAGAGUCGAGUUGUUUGGGAAUGCAGCUCUAAGUGGGUGGUAAAUUCCAUCUAAAGCUAAAUAUUGGCGAGAGACCGAUAGCGAACAAGUACAGUGAUGGAAAGAUGAAAAGAACUUUGAAAAGAGAGUGAAAAAGUACGUGAAAUUGUUGAAAGGGAAGGGCUUGAGAUCAGACUCGGUAUUUUGCGAUCCUAUCCUUCGUGGAGAGGUUUCACUUGCAGCUUACCGGGCCAGCAUCGGUUUGGAUGGUAGGAUAAUGACAUUGGAAUGUGGCUCUUCGGAGUGUUAUAGCCUUUGUUGAUACUGCCUAUCUAGACCGAGGACUGCGUCUUUGACUAGGAUGAUGGCAUAAUGAUCUUAAGCCGCCCGUCUU
Molecule: ribosomal RNA, 498 nt
Filed under: [Candida] sp.
Lineage: Eukaryota; Fungi; Ascomycota; Saccharomycetes; Saccharomycetales
Description: Candida sp. (in: Saccharomycetales) partial large subunit ribosomal RNA
Rfam family: Eukaryotic large subunit ribosomal RNA
Source: RNAcentral